Molecule: long non-coding RNA, 3769 nt
Organism: Neofelis nebulosa (Clouded leopard)
Lineage: Eukaryota; Metazoa; Chordata; Mammalia; Carnivora; Felidae
Exons: 3
Source: RefSeq, a predicted model, not a curated record
UCCAUUCAUUUAUUCCACAGACAUGCACUGAGCACCUGUGAUGUGCAGGCGAAGAGAGAGAGAGAGAGAGAGUGGGGGAGGGAUGCCCACGUGUGCGUCGAACUCAACAAACAUAUCAUGACCUGAGCUGAAGUCGGACGCUCAACCGACUGAGACACCCAGGCACCCCUAGAAUUUUUUUGAACACGUUCUCGGUGCCUGUGUUUUACCGGAACGGAAUGUUCUGGAAUGUGUGUUAGAGAAAACACAAAACUGACUAAGGAGGGGUGAAUUAUAAUUUAAAUUAUAAACAAAUGCUCUAAUGAAGUUGUUUUUCAGGCUGGUGGAUGGCAAUGCCCUUCGUGAGUGGGUGAGAAUAGGGGAGGGGGAGGCCCGAACGGGGGAGGGGAUACCGCAAGUUUGCUGAUCUGCUAUUACUUGGCUCAGUCUUUCCUCUCAUUCAUCACACUUGGCUCCCAACGACUUGGCUGAUCCUAAAAGUCAAGCCCCCUCAUCCUCCUCCAAAGAGAUGGCUUGAGCCCCUGAGGCAGGUAUUUAGGAGAGAGUCUUGCCCCCCAAAAGCAUUUCAAUCGUGUCCUCUCAAAGGACGUAAUCGCUUGACUAAAUCUCCCACUUCGAAGAAGAAAACACCUUUUGAGUAGUUCUGGUCUGGUUGUAAAAAAGAGCCCACCCCCUUCUCUAUAGCCGUCCCCGAUGAGCCCAGAUUCGAAAAGAUCCUGUCGGUACAUGUCGUCAAGGUGCUCAGGUUCAUUAUCAAAGGCUGUUUGCUAAUAAAUAAAUAAUAAACGUGUUUUCCCACUCCCAUUUAAUUAGGAACUUUAUGAGCUACCCGUGAGCUAAGAGUCUCACGACUAACACAACGUGCAGCCGGGAAGGCAACUCACAGCAGCGCAUGUGGCCCUUGUGGCUUGUGACACGGUUUUUCCAGUAUUCAGGAUAAUAGAAGCAGUGGUUCAUUUUUAUAUGAAAUGCUCUGUAAGGUAAGGUUGGGGGAAACGAUUAUAAAUUCACGUCGAGGAUGGCAACAAAAAGACAGAGACAGGGGUGCCCGGGGGGCUCAGUUGGUUAGGCGUCCGGCUUCGGCUCAGGUCACCAUCUCAUGGUUUGUGAGUUUGAGCCCCGCGUCGGGCUCUGUGCUGACAGCUCGGGGCCUGGAGCCUGCUUUGGAUUCUGUGCCUCCCUCUCUCUCUGCCCCUCCCCUGCUCAUGCUCUGUCUCUCUCUCUGUCUCUCUCUCUCUCAAAAAGAAACAUUAACAAAAAUUAAAAAAAAAAAAAAAGGUAGGGGCAGCCAGUUCACAAUGGAACUUGAUUGUAUCUUGAAACUACGCAAUAGCCAUUCCUGUCCCAGACCCUCUCUCCUUCUCCGCCUUCUCGCCCUCCCUGGGUGAUGUCAUCACCCCUGUAUCUUUACUUAAACUAAGUGACCCUUAAACUAAAUGACUGGUCCCCGGUCCUGCUCAUGAGCUUCUGACGAGGUCCUCACUUCCUGUUAGGUCCCCAGGCUGCCAAAUGGAACGGGCCCUGACAGAACCCUCGCCUUCACACCCACCCACCCACACCCGCUCUUCCUGGGCUCCUUGGGGCCUGUCGCUGCCUUCCCAGCCCCUCCCACCAGAGCAGCAUCAGGCCCCCCGGGGUUGUGUUUCUGGUCACAGCCAUUGUGACCACCUAGUGUCACCUGCAUCAUUGCCUGCCAAGUCUCCCUUGCUCACUCCAGUCUCCUGACCCCUGAUCCAUUGUCUACACUGCAGGCAGGAUCAUCUUUCACAAAUGCAGAUUUAUUCCUCUCUUUGAUAUUCCUCCAUUUAUUAUUCCAAAGAGAAACCCAAUUUCCUUAACACUUGAUGCUUUGGUCUGAUUCCUCCUCCCCCUUGAGGGACACUCCCCCCUCCAAGGUCCCCUGACCUUGGGACUGAGCUGAGUGCCCAUGCGGUGCCCACGCACGCCGUUGCCCUGUAGAGACACGUGUUUCACGAUGCAUCGAGAUGGUCUGUUUACUGCGUGGCUUACCCACACACACAGGUGCAGUGGAGCAUCCGUCUCCCUCUUCCUCCUCAAUCAAAUUGGACUCCAAGCCUCCAUCGUACCCAGGGAAGCAGGAAAGUUCAUGACUUUCAUUCUCAGGCCUCCUGAUGCUUCCCGUCCUGGUCCAGUGCCCUAACCAGAGUGAAAUAUUAGAGGCAGUCCCAUCAGAGGGACACCGUAACUCCGGACGGCCUUGCCCCACCCACUCCGCUCUUGGCCGUUCCCAGACACUGGCAUCCCAGCCCAGACUGGAGCCCUGGUGCCCAAGCCGCCCCCAGGAGGAGUCUCUCCAUCCCCGGAGCGGUCUCAGGGACUGUUCCCAACCAAGGACCUCCAAGAUCUAUCUUCCCAGUGAAUUCAGAACACAAGGAGGGGAUGGCUUCCGGGGAAUUUCUGCCCCAUACACCUGCCCUGGGGAAGACUCUUAGAACCAGAGAGGGGAAAAUAUAAAGAGCCCAACACGGGUCGGUGUCCCUGAAAGUUAUUCUGGACUUGCUCCCCUUCACUCAGCAGGGACCUCUAAGACAGGACCAUGUCCCUUUUUGGUGGCCUGGCACAGUGCCUGGUAAUCAGAAGAAGAUAGUGAGGAAGCAAGCAUCACUCCAGACCUACAGGAUGUGCAAAGAUGAAGAGGUCUGAUGGGGCCGAGUGUCUUCAAGGACGUGGAGAAUCAGGGGCGCGGAGACACUGUGGUGGGGUCGUAAGUCAGGUCAUCCACUUUGGGGAGCAGAUGAAAAUACCCAGUAAAGUUAAAAAUGCCCAUUUCUUUCACCCUGAAAUCCUACUUACAGCAUAAAUCUGGAGAAACGUCUGCUCAGGGGAGUGUGAACACACAGAUGUUCAUUGCAUCAUUGUUUAUGACAGCAAAGAACCUGGACACCCAUUGACAGGUAAAAAGAUACACACAUUCACGGAUGUAAGAACCAGAGACCACGCAGAGAGAAACGCCAGAGAUCGGAAGGCUUCCACAUUCCGGCAGAUUGUCAUGAAACGUGGCUCUCACUUCUGAGCACAGAGGUGUGUGUUGAGAUGAAAUCUAUAAAUCACGGACAACGUGGUCAGUCUCCAUGGAGACUUGUUCCACCCCCAGCCUCCCCGCCCCCCUCCCCCCCCGUCAGUGGCACCUCCAUUUUACCCAGUGGUUCAAGUCCGAAACCCAAGUGUCAUCUUGGAUUCUUGUCUUUCUCACACUCCACAACCAAUCUGUCGCAAACCUCUGUCAUUUCUACUUCCAAAAUAUAUUCCCCUCCCUUCCCUUCUUCGGAAUAUGACACUUCUCUCCAUCUCCGUCCCACUGCCCACAUCCGGCCUCCCUCCUGGGCAGCUGACAGCCUCUGCUCCCUUGCUCUCCCCACCAUCACCCCCUCCCUGCCCUGCAGCCAAGGCGAUCCUUAAAACAGCAAAUCGGAGGUCAUCAUUCCCCUGCUUAUACCCGUCAGUGGUUCCCCCUCCACCGAGAAUAUGCUAACUGCCCUCCCUUCACCAAUAAAACUAAAAAAUCUGGGCCACUUCUGUUUCAUAUCCAUUUAAAACGAUAAACCUUCUCCCCUACCCCAGCCCAGCCCUUCCCUGAUCUAUCUUUCCAUGUUACUUAUCACAUUAUGCACCAUAUGAUGCUAUAUAAUAUUAGACUUAGUAUCUUUCUAUAUAUUAUAUUCUUUAGGUAGUUUAUUGUUGGUCUUCCCUUGCAAUAAAGUAUAAGCUUCAUAGGACCGGAAUAUUUGAGGGGUUUAUUCUAUGCAAG